RNAcentral lists this ribosomal RNA (733 nucleotides) under uncultured Staphylococcus sp. Its description in RNAcentral is "bacterial SSU rRNA". It matches the Rfam family "Bacterial small subunit ribosomal RNA", at positions 65 to 780 of the family's 1533-position model. The record is from RNAcentral. Lineage: Bacteria; Bacillati; Bacillota; Bacilli; Caryophanales; Staphylococcaceae.
AGCGAACGGACGAGAAGCUUGCUUCUCUGAUGUUAGCGGCGGACGGGUGAGUAACACGUGGAUAACCUACCUAUAAGACUGGGAUAACUUCGGGAAACCGGAGCUAAUACCGGAUAAUAUUUUGAACCGCAUGGUUCAAAAGUGAAAGACGGUCUUGCUGUCACUUAUAGAUGGAUCCGCGCUGCAUUAGCUAGUUGGUAAGGUAACGGCUUACCAAGGCAACGAUGCAUAGCCGACCUGAGAGGGUGAUCGGCCACACUGGAACUGAGACACGGUCCAGACUCCUACGGGAGGCAGCAGUAGGGAAUCUUCCGCAAUGGGCGAAAGCCUGACGGAGCAACGCCGCGUGAGUGAUGAAGGUCUUCGGAUCGUAAAACUCUGUUAUUAGGGAAGAACAUAUGUGUAAGUAACUGUGCACAUCUUGACGGUACCUAAUCAGAAAGCCACGGCUAACUACGUGCCAGCAGCCGCGGUAAUACGUAGGUGGCAAGCGUUAUCCGGAAUUAUUGGGCGUAAAGCGCGCGUAGGCGGUUUUUUAAGUCUGAUGUGAAAGCCCACGGCUCAACCGUGGAGGGUCAUUGGAAACUGGAAAACUUGAGUGCAGAAGAGGAAAGUGGAAUUCCAUGUGUAGCGGUGAAAUGCGCAGAGAUAUGGAGGAACACCAGUGGCGAAGGCGACUUUCUGGUCUGUAACUGACGCUGAUGUGCGAAAGCGUGGGGAUCAAACAGGAUUA